AGUCGCCUCUUUUAUAUAACCAAAUUUUACGUUUAUAUGUUAGUUUCUGAAAUGACGGAACAGAAAUACAUACAACACAACCUUGGUGGUCAGAAACUUCUGCACGCGCUACUAUUCCAAGAACUAUAUAAACCCCAAUCGGGAGAAUGUUGUCUUUCGUUUUAUUAAAACGCUGGAGGUAUUGACCCUUCAAACCCGCUAUGCAAAAAUGGAAACUUUGCUGACAUCAUAUCAACACAAAGUAGAAUGACCACAUCAGAGCCAUCUCAACACUCACAACAGGAAAUGGUUUCAAGUAAUUUAAAGAUGCCAAGGAAUGGACAGGCUACUGGUCCAGAUGGCAC
This is a long non-coding RNA of Pecten maximus, 344 nucleotides long. RefSeq lists it as uncharacterized. The record is from RefSeq and is a predicted model, not a curated record. The transcript has 3 exons. NCBI's taxonomy places the organism in Eukaryota, Metazoa, Mollusca, Bivalvia, Pectinida, Pectinidae.